UCUAAAAUCUGUUAUUGCCUUUUACCUUUACAUGACUACAGAGGAGAUUAGCAUGCCCUUGCACAAGGAUGACAUGCAAAUUUGCGAAACGUUCCAAAUUUUG
This is a small nuclear RNA of Hemiscyllium ocellatum (epaulette shark), 103 nucleotides long. Lineage: Eukaryota; Metazoa; Chordata; Chondrichthyes; Orectolobiformes; Hemiscylliidae. The record is from RefSeq and is a predicted model, not a curated record.